CUAGCCCACCGUCUCGGCCCCGAGUGAUGCACGGUUACUCGUGAGGGUAAACGUGAAGCGUUCACAGGGGAGGCCACAGGCUGGGUAUUGAGCUGCGAAAUGGGUCGAACUUCGAGGUGCCGAUCUCGUUCUCUUGAAGAGAAGGCAAUAUUGGCUCAUGCGUUUUGGCCAGCAUGAUUCCGGACCUCGCGCAGUCGUAGACCC
Methylomonas sp. DH-1 is the source of this 204-nucleotide non-coding RNA. Lineage: Bacteria; Pseudomonadati; Pseudomonadota; Gammaproteobacteria; Methylococcales; Methylococcaceae. The record is from Rfam.